GACGAACGCUGGCGGCGUGCUUAACACAUGCAAGUCGAACGGAAAGGCCCUGCUUUUGUGGGGUGCUCGAGUGGCGAACGGGUGAGUAACACGUGAGUAACCUGCCCUUGACUUUGGGAUAACUUCAGGAAACUGGGGCUAAUACCGGAUAGGAGCUCCUGCUGCAUGGUGGGGGUUGGAAAGUUUCGGCGGUUGGGGAUAGACUCGCGGCUUAUCGGCUUGUUGGUGGGGUAGUGGCUUACCAAGGCUUUGACGGGUAGCCGGCCUGGGAGGGUGACCGGCCACAUUGGGACUGAGAUACGGCCCAGACUCCUACGGGAGGCAGCAGUGGGGAAUAUUGCACAAUGGGCGGGAGCCUGAUGCAGCAACGCCGCGUGCGGAAUGACGGCCUUCGGGUUGUAAACCGCUUUCGCCUGUGACGAAGCGUGAGUGACGGUAAUGGGUAAAGAAGCACCGGCUAACUACGUG
Molecule: ribosomal RNA, 468 nt
Filed under: uncultured bacterium
Lineage: Bacteria
Description: partial 16S ribosomal RNA
Rfam family: Bacterial small subunit ribosomal RNA
Source: RNAcentral